RNAcentral lists this ribosomal RNA (546 nucleotides) under uncultured bacterium. RNAcentral's name for it is "bacterial SSU rRNA". It matches the Rfam family "Bacterial small subunit ribosomal RNA", at positions 356 to 896 of the family's 1533-position model. The record is from RNAcentral.
GGGGAAUAUUGCGCAAUGGGGGCAACCCUGACGCAGCCAUGCCGCGUGAAUGAAGAAGGCCUUCGGGUUGUAAAGUUCUUUCGGUAGCGAGGAAGGCAUUUAGUUUAAUAGACUAGGUGAUUGACGUUAACUACAGAAGAAGCACCGGCUAACUCCGUGCCAGCAGCCGCGGUAAUACGGAGGGUGCGAGCGUUAAUCGGAAUAACUGGGCGUAAAGGGCACGCAGGCGGUGACUUAAGUGAGGUGUGAAAGCCCCGGGCUUAACCUGGGAAUUGCAUUUCAUACUGGGUCGCUAGAGUACUUUAGGGAGGGGUAGAAUUCCACGUGUAGCGGUGAAAUGCGUAGAGAUGUGGAGGAAUACCGAAGGCGAAGGCAGCCCCUUGGGAAUGUACUGACGCUCAUGUGUGAAAGCGUGGGGAGCAAACAGGAUUAGAUACCCUGGUAGUCCACGCUGUAAACGAUGUCGAUUUGGGGGUUGAACUUUAAGUUUGGCGCCCGUAGCUAACGUGAUAAAUCGACCGCCUGGGGAGUACGGCCGCAAGGUUA